Long non-coding RNA from Helicoverpa zea (corn earworm), 545 nucleotides. RefSeq lists it as uncharacterized. The transcript has 2 exons. NCBI's taxonomy places the organism in Eukaryota, Metazoa, Arthropoda, Insecta, Lepidoptera, Noctuidae. The record is from RefSeq and is a predicted model, not a curated record.
ACCUGUCCAAAACCGUAUAUCCGGGCAAAACCGUAUAGCGUAUGUAUUUCUGUUAAUAAUUCAAAUUUCCCGCGCCACUGCAGCUCAGCGGUGUCAACCAAUCACAGCUAUUUGUCAACAAACACUUGUCGCGACCGGCACGCGCGUUUUUUAAAUAUUUUAUUUUAUUGUUUUUUAGUGGUUUUUAUGUAAUUUAUGUGCAAUAAGAAGUGCCAAUCGUCAAAUUUACGUGUACAAUAGACAGAUGCCACGAUGCCUCGUGAUUAUAAAAGGACGACUAAUAGACAAUCGUGGGACACGGAAAACAUGAAAAAAGCUGUUCAAGCCGUGUUUGAUGGGACUAUGGGGUACUUCAAAGCUGCUCAAAUAUAUCAGGUGCCGAAAUCCAUACGGUAUACGGUUUUGUCCAUGCCCUGGGGCAAAACCGUAAAACGUAGAAGAAUUAUUUUUGCUAUUUUUUUUCAAUUUACGCUUUAAUUAUCUAAGGUAAAAUAUUGUGAUUGCGUACCUUAUGAGACUGGUUAAAAAUAAAUGUUGAUUUAGUA